This 806-nucleotide ribosomal RNA is filed under the name uncultured bacterium. RNAcentral describes it as "bacterial SSU rRNA". It matches the Rfam family "Bacterial small subunit ribosomal RNA", at positions 8 to 796 of the family's 1533-position model. The record is from RNAcentral.
AGAGUUUGAUCCUGGCUCAGGAUGAACGCUGGCGGCGUGCCUAAUACAUGCAAGUCGAGCAAACAGAUAAGGAGCUUGCUCCUUUGACGUUAGCGGCGGACGGGUGAGUAGCACGUGGGUAACCUACCUAUAAGACUGGAAUAACUCCGGGAAACCGGGGCUAAUGCCGGAUAACAUGUUGAACCGCAUGGUUCUACAGUGAAAGACGGUCUUGCUGUCACUUAUAGAUGGACCCGCGCCGUAUUAGCUAGUUGGUGGGGUAACGGCCUACCAAGGCGACGAUACGUAGCCGACCUGAGAGGGUGAUCGGCCACACUGGAACUGAGACACGGUCCAGACUCCUACGGGAGGCAGCAGUAGGGAAUCUUCCGCAAUGGGCGAAAGCCUGACGGAGCAACGCCGCGUGAGUGAUGAAGGUCUUCGGAUCGUAAAGCUCUGUUGUUAGGGAAGAACAAAUGUGUAAGUAACUGUGCACAUCUUGACGGUACCUAACCAGAAAGCCACGGCUAACUACGUGCCAGCAGCCGCGGUAAUACGUAGGUGGCAAGCGUUAUCCGGAAUUAUUGGGCGUAAAGCGCGCGUAGGCGGUUUUUUAAGUCUGAUGUGAAAGCCCACGGCUCAACCGUGGAGGGUCAUUGGAAACUGGAAAACUUGAGUGCAGAAGAGGAAAGUGGAAUUCCAUGUGUAGCGGUGAAAUGCGCAGAGAUAUGGAGGAACACCAGUGGCGAAGGCGGCUUUCUGGUCUGCAACUGACGCUGAUGUGCGAAAGCGUGGGGAUCAAACAGGAUUAGAUACCCUAGUAGUCC